CGGGACACGUGGUAUCCUGUCUGAAUAUGGGGGGACCAUCCUCCAAGGCUAAAUACUCCUGACUGACCGAUAGUGAACCAGUACCGUGAGGGAAAGGCGAAAAGAACCCCGGCGAGGGGAGUGAAAAAGAACCUGAAACCGUGUACGUACAAGCAGUGGGAGCACGCUUAGGCGUGUGACUGCGUACCUUUUGUAUAAUGGGUCAGCGACUUAUAUUCUGUAGCAAGGUUAACCGAAUAGGGGAGCCGAAGGGAAACCGAGUCUUAACUGGGCGUUAAGUUGCAGGGUAUAGACCCGAAACCCGGUGAUCUAGCCAUGGGCAGGUUGAAGGUUGGGUAACACUAACUGGAGGACCGAACCGACUAAUGUUGAAAAAUUAGCGGAUGACUUGUGGCUGGGGGUGAAAGGCCAAUCAAACCGGGAGAUAGCUGGUUCUCCCCGAAAGCUAUUUAGGUAGCGCCUCGUGAAUUCAUCUCCGGGGGUAGAGCACUGUUUCGGCAAGGGGGUCAUCCCGACUUACCAACCCGAUGCAAACUGCGAAUACCGGAGAAUGUUAUCACGGGAGACACACGGCGGGUGCUAACGUCCGUCGUGAAGAGGGAAACAACCCAGACCGCCAGCUAAGGUCCCAAAGUCAUGGUUAAGUGGGAAACGAUGUGGGAAGGCCCAGACAGCCAGGAUGUUGGCUUAGAAGCAGCCAUCAUUUAAAGAAAGCGUAAUAGCUCACUGGUCGAGUCGGCCUGCGCGGAAGAUGUAACGGGGCUAAACCAUGCACCGAAGCUGCGGCAGCGACGCUGAUGCGUUGUUGGGUAGGGGAGCGUUCUGUAAGCCUGUGAAGGUGUGCUGUGAGGCAUGCUGGAGGUAUCAGAAGUGCGAAUGCUGACAUAAGUAACGAUAAAGCGGGUGAAAAGCCCGCUCGCCGGAAGACCAAGGGUUCCUGUCCAACGUUAAUCGGGGCAGGGUGAGUCGACCCCUAAGGCGAGGCCGAAAGGCGUAGUCGAUGGGAAACAGGUUAAUAUUCCUGUACUUGGUGUUACUGCGAAGGGGGGACGGAGAAGGCUAUGUUGGCCGGGCGACGGUUGUCCCGGUUUAAGCGUGUAGGCUGGUUUUCCAGGCAAAUCCGGAAAAUCAAGGCUGAGGCGUGAUGACGAGGCACUACGGUGCUGAAGCAACAAAUGCCCUGCUUCCAGGAAAAGCCUCUAAGCAUCAGGUAACAUCAAAUCGUACCCCAAACCGACACAGGUGGUCAGGUAGAGAAUACCAAGGCGCUUGAGAGAACUCGGGUGAAGGAACUAGGCAAAAUGGUGCCGUAACUUCGGGAGAAGGCACGCUGA
This 1334-nucleotide ribosomal RNA is filed under the name Escherichia coli. RNAcentral's name for it is "partial 23S ribosomal RNA". It matches the Rfam family "Bacterial large subunit ribosomal RNA", at positions 418 to 1754 of the family's 2925-position model. Lineage: Bacteria; Pseudomonadati; Pseudomonadota; Gammaproteobacteria; Enterobacterales; Enterobacteriaceae. The record is from RNAcentral.